Molecule: ribosomal RNA, 550 nt
Filed under: uncultured bacterium
Lineage: Bacteria
Description: bacterial SSU rRNA
Rfam family: Bacterial small subunit ribosomal RNA
Source: RNAcentral
CGGGUGAGUAAUGUAUCGGAACGUGCCCAGUAGCGGGGGAUAACUACGCGAAAGCGUAGCUAAUACCGCAUACUAUUGGAGCGGCCGAUAUCGGAUUAGCUAGUUGGUGGGGUAACGGCUCACCAAGGCGACGAUCCGUAGCUGGUUUGAGAGGACGACCAGCCACACUGGGACUGAGACACGGCCCAGACUCCUACGGGAGGCAGCAGUGGGGAAUUUUGGACAAUGGGGGAAACCCUGAUCCAGCCAUCCCGCGUGUGCGAUGAAGGCCUUCGGGUUGUAAAGCACUUUUGGCAGGAAAGCGGUACCUGCAGAAUAAGCACCGGCUAACUACGUGCCAGCAGCCGCGGUAAUACGUAGGGUGCAAGCGUUAAUCGGAAUUACUGGGCGUAAAGCGUGCGCAGGCGGUUCGGAAAGAAAGAUGUGAAAUCCCAGAGCUUAACUUUGGAACUGCAUUUUUAACUACCGGGCUAGAGUGUGUCAGAGGGAGGUGGAAUUCCGCGUGUAGCAGUGAAAUGCGUAGAUAUGCGGAGGAACACCGAUGGCGAAG